AUGGCAAGCUACCGCUUCCUGGUUCAACAACUCAGCGGAUACUUUGAAGGAUGCGAGUUCCUCCAUGUACCGCGAGCCGACAACGAGCCAGCCGAUGCCCUGGCUCGAAUAGGCUCCACUCGGCAAGCAAUACCAACCAGCGUCGCUCUACAACGCCUCCUCAAGCCAUCCAUCAAGCCGUCUCUAGAGUCCGAUUCCAUCUUCGUACUGCCUGACCCCGACGCGGCCGGGUCCGGCUCGAAGAACCAAGCAGGCGACCCCGGGACUUCAGUAGUCGGCCCGGGGACUUCGGCAACCAGCUCGGGGACUGCCACACCCGGCUCGGGGACUGCAGUAGCCGGCCCGGGGACUGCACCAGCACAACAGCCGGCGGCCGACUCCAGCAUUUCACCACCCAGCCAGAGAAGUGGCGGCUCCGUCAUGGGCUCAGUCCAUCCUCAACUUCCUAGUAAACCAAGACCUGCCGGCUGA
RNAcentral lists this ribosomal RNA (471 nucleotides) under Triticum aestivum (bread wheat). Its description in RNAcentral is "partial small subunit ribosomal RNA". The record is from RNAcentral. Lineage: Eukaryota; Viridiplantae; Streptophyta; Magnoliopsida; Poales; Poaceae.